UUUGCUGGGAGGAAAUGAGGCAGCCUUCCAAGAUGAAAUACGAAAAACCAGAAGUUGAUUAAGGUUAAGGAGUGAAGAAGAAAUCAAAAUAUUCUCAGAUGAAGAAAAGCAGAGAAUUUGUCAUCAGGAGACCUGCCCUAAAAGAAUGGCCCUAAUGGAAGUUCCUAAAAAAAGAGAAGACUCUGAAAAAAAAAAACAAAAAAAAAAACUUGAAGUAUUAUAAAAGUAUCAUAAAGAAAGAGGAGCAUAGUAAGCAAAAAUAUGGCUACUUGCCUUCAAAAGAAGGAGGAAGAGUGGGAGGAGGAAGAGCUGCAAGAGGUGCCGUGUCACCUCUGAAAGCACCACCCUGGAGGCCCCAUGAUUUAUAAGGACAGUAGUUAAUAGUUUCUGUCAUCAGAGAGGAAAGCAGAGGGAGAUUUUACACAGAGAAGAGGUGAUGUUAAGAUGGAGUAGAGAGAUAUUUGGAGAUCCUGGCCUUAAGGACUGGAGGGAUGCAACCAGAAGCCAAGGAAUACCAGUAUCCACUAGAAGCUGGAAGAGACAAGGAAAUUAUUCCUAGGUCCCCUAGGAACUCCAGGAUGAGUACAGCAUUGUUGACACCUUGAUUUUGACUCAGGAUACUGAUUUCAG
Molecule: long non-coding RNA, 630 nt
Organism: Gorilla gorilla gorilla (western lowland gorilla)
Lineage: Eukaryota; Metazoa; Chordata; Mammalia; Primates; Hominidae
Exons: 4
Source: RefSeq, a predicted model, not a curated record